CUGAAAACUUAAUUUUCUACCUCCAAAAAGUCCAAAUCAUAAAUCUAUAUCCAUAUCACAUGGUCCAUAUCCAUUAUUUAGUCCAUAGAUAUAUCAUUUAAUCCACCCAUUUCUUCUCAAAGUGCAAAUAUCGAAUAUGAACAGCAAACAACCGAUUUUUCCUUUUUAUUCAUGAUACAUUGUUCGAAAAAAAAAAAUUUUGACCCCACAGUUCGAACGGUCUGGGUCCGUCCCUGGUGAUGAGAGUCCAUAUGUAGCAAAACCAUUGGUAGAUGUCAUGGGUAAAGAGACCCUUUUUGCCCCAACUUUCCCUUUGAGGAAACUUGCUUUUUCUCCACAUAUAUACCCUGAAUGUAGACUGAAAGAUUAUGCAACUAAUAUAUUAGUAAGGGCACGAGUCAAGAAGAGAAAAUUUGAAAAGGAAAUAACUUUUUGUACUCUGAACAAUUCGAAACAAGGCAAUAUUACUUGCAUGGGAUGGAAGACUGGAACCCAAAAGGUAGACACAAGUCUCUGAGUAAUACAGUUGCGGAGAUUAAAUUUUGAAAGAGGAGAGACAGAGAAGCAAAGGAAACGCCGGAUGGGAUGGUGCUGGUGUUGAUGGCAAUGGUGGGAGCUCCAUCAUCAAUAAAUGUUGGAUGUUGAUUAUAAGUACAGACAUUUAAAGGACAGAGAUUUAAGUGAAAAUUAAAUCGGUGUAUUCAUUUCAAAAUCUUGAAUUGAACCAACAAAUUUUAUGGAUCAUUGGACCAAUAGGUGUGUCCUUUCUAUGAGAAAUGAGUGACAUUAGGAGGAGCCCUUCUUAACAACUCCAAUUUUGACAUAUUUGUUGUCUCUUAGUAAUGGCUUAAACGUUUUAAAUGUUUGUUUAUGGUACGCAAUCAGAACCAUAUGUAUGAAAUGGAUUGCUGCCAUAAAUCCAACCUCACUCUUGCCACGGGUAUGAAUUGGC
This 952-nucleotide long non-coding RNA is filed under the name Olea europaea subsp. europaea. The record is from RNAcentral. Lineage: Eukaryota; Viridiplantae; Streptophyta; Magnoliopsida; Lamiales; Oleaceae.